GCAGCCGCCGCGGUAAUACAGAGGGUGCGAGCGUUAAUCGGAUUUACUGGGCGUAAAGCGUGCGUAGGCGGCUUCUUAAGUCGGAUGUGAAAUCCCUGAGCUUAACUUAGGAAUUGCAUUCGAUACUGGGAAGCUAGAGUAUGGGAGAGGAUGGUAGAAUUCCAGGUGUAGCGGUGAAAUGCGUAGAGAUCUGGAGGAAUACCGAUGGCGAAGGCAGCCAUCUGGCCUAAUACUGACGCUGAGGUACGAAAGCAUGGGGAGCAAACAGGAUUAGAGACCCCAGUAGUCCCUGUCUCUUAUAC
RNAcentral lists this ribosomal RNA (302 nucleotides) under uncultured bacterium. RNAcentral's name for it is "partial 16S ribosomal RNA". It matches the Rfam family "Bacterial small subunit ribosomal RNA", at positions 508 to 807 of the family's 1533-position model. The record is from RNAcentral.